UCCGAGAGGUUCGGGACCAGGAGCAGCUUGCGAUCGCGCCUUGGGGUCAUUCAGACCAAAAAACCAUCAGAUACCCACCUUUGGAUACUUUUCUUUAGGAUUCAGCCUGCUUGCAGACCCCCAAAUGGCAGAUAUGUAGAGAUUUUUCUUUUCUGUAUCGGCCUUGCCGCUGCUCUGAAUAAUAACCAAAAAUGAUCAGGAUUUUGUUUCCACCCUCCAAAUCAACACCCAGUUGUUAAUGAUGACAGCCCGGAUCCGUCCAAGAAACCGCAACUAGGGCUCAAUCAGGGCUUGCACCUGGCCAGAACACCUAUUGGCACUCAUCACGGAACAUUGAAUCGUUGGAGGGCCGCACAACACCGCCAUCAGCCAUCCACCACCCAUCCAUCCAUCACCCACCAAACGUCGUCUCGGCCCUUUGGACAAAAUUUACAUUUGAGUUUAAGUUUAGGUGUAAACAAUAAACGAAAAACAACAAUAGGCUACCAAAAAAAGCGAAAAAUCCAA
Long non-coding RNA from Drosophila suzukii, 507 nucleotides. RefSeq lists it as uncharacterized. Lineage: Eukaryota; Metazoa; Arthropoda; Insecta; Diptera; Drosophilidae. The record is from RefSeq and is a predicted model, not a curated record.